UACGGAGGGUGCUAGCGUUGUCCGGAAUUACUGGGCGUAAAGCGCACGUAGGCGGCUUUGUAAGUUAGAGGUGAAAGCCCGGGGCUCAACCCCGGAAUUGCCUUUAAGACUGCAUCGCUUGAAUUGUGGAGAGGUAAGUGGAAUUCCGAGUGUAGAGGUGAAAUUCGUAGAUAUUCGGAAGAACACCAGUGGCGAAGGCGACUUACUGGACACAUAUUGACGCUGAGGUGCGAAAGCGUGGGGAGCAAACAGG
This 253-nucleotide ribosomal RNA is filed under the name uncultured bacterium. Its description in RNAcentral is "partial 16S ribosomal RNA". It matches the Rfam family "Bacterial small subunit ribosomal RNA", at positions 524 to 776 of the family's 1533-position model. The record is from RNAcentral.